GCUCCAAGAUGGACCUGCUGCUGGCCAAGGCCAAGCCCAGCAGCUACCUUGGUAGCGCCUCUGGGAUAAUGUAUUUAAGAAGGGGUAAAAAAUCAACACUGCGCCACAGCAGUCAGAGAGAGGAGUGAGAAUAUGCAAGGGGAGCAGCCCUGCAGACAACCAGGGUCAAAAUGACACACAACAUCUCAAAGAUGAAACUCAAGCAAACACCAAAGACUGCAAUGCCUGACCUGCUUAAUGCGGUUCAGGGGAUACAGGAGAAAGAACAGCCUGGUAAAGGAGAGACAUCAGUAACUAUUAAAAUGGAUGGUGAUAUUCACUGGCUUGAAGGAAAGAGUAGGCAGGUUGCGUCUUAAACAGCCAAGCACUGCUAUGGGCACGGCAGUUAAUCAGCAUUUUUCUAGUAGCUGUUCCCUUACAGUUCCAGGAACCUCCUGUCACAUGGGAGGCCACUACAAAAUUAAGAAGUCCAUUUCUGGACUAUUUCUGUACAAGAUAAGAAAUCCUGAUAUAAACACUUUUCUCAGCAAGCAAGCAACAAGCCAACCAAGCACUGGAAAAGUUUUGAACCAUGACAGUGAACUGAUGUCAGCCAGAAAACAGAAUUCAUCAUGAAUUAAUAAAGAAG
Long non-coding RNA from Passer domesticus (house sparrow), 628 nucleotides. RefSeq lists it as uncharacterized. The transcript is spliced from 3 exons. NCBI's taxonomy places the organism in Eukaryota, Metazoa, Chordata, Aves, Passeriformes, Passeridae. The record is from RefSeq and is a predicted model, not a curated record.